This is an RNA transcript of Cercocebus atys (sooty mangabey), 2102 nucleotides long. RefSeq lists it as uncharacterized. The transcript is spliced from 5 exons. NCBI's taxonomy places the organism in Eukaryota, Metazoa, Chordata, Mammalia, Primates, Cercopithecidae. The record is from RefSeq and is a predicted model, not a curated record.
ACCAAGAUUGGUAAACUGACUCAUCUGAUCUUAUGGCCCCACCUGGGAACUGAAUUAGCACAAGAAAAGAGCUUCGACUCUGAUUUCAUCCCUGGCCAAUCAGCACUCCUGGCUCACUGGCUUCCUCCCACCCACCAAGUUGUCCUUAAAAACUCUGUUCCCCAAAUGCUCGGGGAGACUAAUUUGUCUCUUCUGACUGUGUUUUUUUUUUGCUUUUUAACAUGCCUUGUAAUUUUUUUGAUGAUACCCAGUUAUGAUGUAUCGGUACAAGGAACUGAGACAUCCUCACUCCUGGUUGCUGCGCCUGCAAACUCCAUCAAGACCAUUGGCUGUCCCAGUUCUCAGGCCUGCAGGUUUGGACUGGAACUUCACCACUGGCUGUCCUGGGCCUCCAGCUUGCAAACGGCAGAUUACGGGAUUUCUCAGCUUCCAUAAUCACAUCAUGUGGGUUACAUCUGUCAUCUCGAAUCCCUUCAGACUGCAAGAGCUCCAGAAAUGUUAUCUGUUCGCAAAGCCACGUGACGCUGGAUGGCAGCUUCCUUUGGAUGUGUCCUGAAGCUGCCGAGAGCAGGGAGGAUCCCGCUUGUCUCCAGAUGGCUUGGGGUUUGUUACAGAUUGGAGGAAGCCCCGGGGCGAGGGGGAAGGUUGAAUAAUUACUAGUGUCUGGAAUUACACGAAUGCCCUGGGGACAGGCUGGAACAGGCAGCUUUGCUUCUCCUAGAUGCCCCACUGCAGAGACCCGCAUCAACCCUUGGAUCCAAGUCAGCCAGGAGUCCUCUUUCAUUCAGUCCCAAUUAUGGGAAACAAAAUUUUUACAGCCAUGGAAGGGAAGAUGAAGGGACGAAAUGGAGAAGACUGUAGAUCACAAAGCAUUUUGGAUGCCAUAAAUCCUGCGGAUACCCUGUAGUUCUGCAGCGUCUUUCUUUAGGGAAGCUCUAGUGCCUAGUCUCUAAUUUAGUCUUCUGUGUGGCCGUGGUCUUCAAAUUGGCGUCUGUGGAGACAAAGAGGGAGGUCUUGCUGUGCCUGAGCCUCUGGGAUGUGUUACCAUCCAUGCCAACCUGCUCUCUGAGGCUUUCUGGCAGCACCGCACAGCCCUGGGACUGGAAAUGUGGCUCUCACUGAAGCUGCCCAGAGAGAGGGUCUCUCGAUGAAGAUCCUCUUCUAUCAGCUGGGGCAGCCGGAAAGACAGGCUGGGGAUUCUCUUCACACGGGAUUUCAUCUGCUUGGUGGCUCCAGAAAAAUGCAAGUGUGCGUGUUCAUCCACUUGACAAAGGGUGACUUAACGUGGGUGUCCUGUGGAUUCGAACUGAAAGGGUUUGGGCAAAAGAAAGAGAAGAAGGUGGGACUGCGAAUGAGUUGAAAACACCAUUCUGGAGGCAACAGCCGUGACACAGAAGGGAAGGAAAAUGUAUGACCAUAUACAUUUCAGUAGGAGUUUAUAACCUUUUAUGAACAUUAUCUCGAAGUUAGUCUCUAGACAUAGGACUAAAAAUAAAAUUAUGCUGAACUGUGUGCCCAGAGAAUGGUAAUGGAAAUAAGGUUCUUGAAAGGAAUGACGUAGGUCCAGGGAAAGGUCAUGCUGAAUAAUCAAGGUCGGUGAAGGUCAAAAUCACAAAGAAGGACCCUGUGUUUACUCCUGUACUGGUGGCAGCUUUAGUGGAAACCCUUGGCCAUCACUUUGCCUCUCCAAGCAUUCGGGAAAGACCAUCUGGUGCCAUAUUGUCUUCUGGGGACAGCCGGUCGCCUGGGGAGGGCUGCAUCAUGCUCCUACCCCUGUCAGAUCUGGGCAGAGGACAGACAAAAGUCCUCUGGCGUUUUCUGCAGUGAGAGUCAGGGAAGUGCAUCUAAGGAAUUGGAACCAAGAUGACACGUUCCACAAGGUCAAAAAAUGGUUUGUCUUUCUCACUGCUGUAUGUCCGGGGCCUAGAGGAGAGCCUGACAUGCAGUACAGGCUCAAUAUAUAUUCAUUGUAUGUACUGACCUCUUCAAAGUUCAGUUGGCAUCUGUACCAUCCAUACCCAGUGUGGCCUCCUCAGGUUGUCAAGGUAAGUAUUGCUUUCUCCCCGACAGGUAGGGUACUUACUGUCUCACUAAUUCUAUCA